This 466-nucleotide ribosomal RNA is filed under the name Vreelandella stevensii. RNAcentral's name for it is "partial 16S ribosomal RNA". It matches the Rfam family "Bacterial small subunit ribosomal RNA", at positions 338 to 795 of the family's 1533-position model. Lineage: Bacteria; Pseudomonadati; Pseudomonadota; Gammaproteobacteria; Oceanospirillales; Halomonadaceae. The record is from RNAcentral.
CCUACGGGUGGCUGCAGUGGGGAAUAUUGGACAAUGGGCGAAAGCCUGAUCCAGCCAUGCCGCGUGUGUGAAGAAGGCCUUCGGGUUGUAAAGCACUUUCAGUGGGGAAGAAAGCCUUGGGGCUAAUACCCUCGAGGAAGGACAUCACCCACAGAAGAAGCACCGGCUAACUCCGUGCCAGCAGCCGCGGUAAUACGGAGGGUGCGAGCGUUAAUCGGAAUUACUGGGCGUAAAGCGCGCGUAGGCGGUCUGAUAAGCCGGGUGUGAAAGCCCCGGGCGCAACCUGGGAACGUCAUCCGGAACUGUCAGGCUAGAGUGGAGGAGAGGAAGGUAGAAUUCCCGGUGUAGCGGUGAAAUGCGUAGAGAUCGGGAGGAAUACCAGUGGCGAAGGCGGCCUUCUGGACUGACACUGACGCUGAGGUGCGAAAGCGUGGGUAGCAAACAGGAUUAGAUACCCCGGGUAGUC